UUACGAAUGACUUUUGGGUGA
RNAcentral lists this non-coding RNA (21 nucleotides) under Arabidopsis thaliana (thale cress). The record is from RNAcentral. Lineage: Eukaryota; Viridiplantae; Streptophyta; Magnoliopsida; Brassicales; Brassicaceae.